This 209-nucleotide long non-coding RNA is filed under the name Vigna radiata. RNAcentral describes it as "long non-coding RNA (VRAD_LNC011943)". The record is from RNAcentral. Lineage: Eukaryota; Viridiplantae; Streptophyta; Magnoliopsida; Fabales; Fabaceae.
AGGGCGUGGAACGAACGUCCUGUUUGGUGACCAUAUUUAAAGAGAAAUUUUGAAAACGAGUACCACUUUCUGCAUGCAAAACCCUUCGUCUUCAACCUCCAGAAACCUCAUUUUCUCCUCCUUCUCUCUAAAACCUUCAACCUUCUCUCUAGAAUUCUGACCACUUCUUCUUCUCUGAUCACCAUACUCCUUUCAGAAUAGUUCUUCCC